This 483-nucleotide ribosomal RNA is filed under the name Granulicatella adiacens. RNAcentral's name for it is "bacterial SSU rRNA". It matches the Rfam family "Bacterial small subunit ribosomal RNA", at positions 28 to 492 of the family's 1533-position model. Lineage: Bacteria; Bacillati; Bacillota; Bacilli; Lactobacillales; Carnobacteriaceae. The record is from RNAcentral.
GACGAACGCUGGCGGCGUGCCUAAUACAUGCAAGUCGAACGAGAGCGACCGGUGCUUGCACUGGUCAAUCUAGUGGCGAACGGGUGAGUAACACGUGGGUAACCUGCCCAUCAGAGGGGGAUAACAUUCGGAAACGGAUGCUAAAACCGCAUAGGUCUUCGAACCGCAUGGUUUGAAGAGGAAAAGAGGCGCAAGCUUCUGCUGAUGGAUGGACCCGCGGUGCAUUAGCUAGUUGGUGAGGUAACGGCUCACCAAGGCCGUGAUGCAUAGCCGACCUGAGAGGGUGAUCGGCCACAUUGGGACUGAGACACGGCCCAAACUCCUACGGGAGGCAGCAGUAGGGAAUCUUCCGCAAUGGACGCAAGUCUGACGGAGCAACGCCGCGUGAGUGAAGAAGGUUUUCGGAUCGUAAAACUCUGUUGUUAGAGAAGAACAAGUGCUAGAGUAACUGUUAGCGCCUUGACGGUAUCUAACCAGAAAGCC